CCUACGGGUGACAGCAGUAGGGAAUUUUCUUCAAUGGGCGCAAGCCUGAACGAGCAAUGCCGCGUGAACGAGGCAGGUCUUCGGAUUGUAAAGUUCUGUUGAUGGGGAAAAAGAGCUGAGAGCGGAAUUGCUUCCUGACUGCUCUUACCCUUCGAGGAACUCACGGCUAACUACGUGCCAGCAGCCGCGGUUAUACGUAGGUGGGGAGCGUUAGCCGGAAUGAUUGGGCGUAAAGGGUGCGUAGGCCGCCUGCUAAGUCUGGAGUGAAAGGUACCGGCUCAACCGGUACAGGUUCUGGGAACCGGCGCGCUAGAGGGCAAGAGAGGGCAGUGGAACUCCAUGGGUAGCGGUAAAAUGCGUAAGUAUAUGGAAGGACAACAGUGGCGGAGGCGGCCGCCUGGCCUGUUAACUGACGCUGAGGCACGAAAGCGUGGGGAGCAAAUAGGAUUAGAUACCCUAGUAGUC
Molecule: ribosomal RNA, 465 nt
Filed under: uncultured bacterium
Lineage: Bacteria
Description: partial 16S ribosomal RNA
Rfam family: Bacterial small subunit ribosomal RNA
Source: RNAcentral